Molecule: ribosomal RNA, 466 nt
Filed under: uncultured Fusobacteriota bacterium
Lineage: Bacteria; Fusobacteriati; Fusobacteriota
Description: bacterial SSU rRNA
Rfam family: Bacterial small subunit ribosomal RNA
Source: RNAcentral
AUGCAAGUCUACUUGAUGUAACUUCGGUUAUGGAUGGUGGCGGACGGGUGAGUAACGCGUAAAUAACUUGCCCCCUAGUCUGGGACAACUGUUGGAAACGACAGCUAAUACUAGAUAUUAUGAGACCUUGGCAUCAAGGACUUAUGAAAGCUAUAUGCGCUAGGGGAGAGAUUUGCGUCCUAUUAGCUAGUUGGUGAGGUAAUGGCUCACCAAGGCGACGAUAGGUAGCCGGCCUGAGAGGGUGAACGGCCACAAGGGGACUGAGACACGGCCCUUACUCCUACGGGAGGCAGCAGUGGGGAAUAUUGGACAAUGGACCAAAAGUCUGAUCCAGCAAUUCUGUGUGCUUGAUGAAGGCCUUCGGGUUGUAAAGAGCUUUAAGUAGGGAAGAAGAUAGUGACGGUACCUACAGAAUAAGCGACGGCUAAAUACGUGCCAGCAGCCGCGGUAAUACGUAUGUCGCAAG